RNAcentral lists this unclassified non-coding RNA (346 nucleotides) under fungal sp. RNAcentral's name for it is "partial internal transcribed spacer region". The stretch from base 1 to 46 matches the Rfam family "Eukaryotic small subunit ribosomal RNA", at positions 1786 to 1831 of the family's 1831-position model. Lineage: Eukaryota; Fungi. The record is from RNAcentral.
AAGUCGUAACAAGGUUUCCGUAGGUGAACCUGCGGAAGGAUCAUUAACACGUAUCCCCCCGUGAACCUUCAGUGCGCUCGCACUUUCUUAGAAAAGGUAGCAGACUUCUGCGUAGACUGUGCUUGAGCGUGAGGCAAGUGGCCUGGCAUUCCUCUGCUUGUUGGUGUCUGAAAGUGUCACCAGCUCUGUACGAAUGGCGCAGUCACGAUCGCUAGAGGCCGACACGGCCGGCGACCGGGUCACUGGGCGCGAGCCCCCCUCGUCACCUUUGCAUGAAAACGGGCCUGCGCUUAAUUGUGCGGCCACCAAACUCGAACAACUGUUAACAAUGGAUAUCUUGGUUCUC